Molecule: long non-coding RNA, 1008 nt
Organism: Manduca sexta (tobacco hornworm)
Lineage: Eukaryota; Metazoa; Arthropoda; Insecta; Lepidoptera; Sphingidae
Exons: 3
Source: RefSeq, a predicted model, not a curated record
GAUUGUGUUUUGCAGUGACUUUAUGUGGAGAUUUGGUGAUGCCUCUGUGGCGUAGUCGUGUUGCGUAUUAGUUACGAGUGCCGUGCCAAAGUUUCGUUGCAGCUCAGGUCGUAUAAAAUGCCUGGAGUUAAGAAUUGUGCCCGAUAAUUACAUGAGAACUAACAUAGCUGGUAGAAUGUGGUUGUCCACCUCUACCAAGCCCUUAUGCUGCCUUUAUAUGAUUAUUUUGAAAACCUGAUGAAUAUUUCCUUGAUCUGCAAAUAUAGAGACUUGAUAACGAUUCCAGCCUGGAGACUCCAUUAUUCCCUAAUAGUCCCGGUAAAUUCUCGAGCAUAAGUGCACGGCAAAGUGACCCUACUGCACCUGAUGGUAAGUGGAGUGGAGUCUAUUAGAAUGUCAACUGACGAGAGAUGAUUACUGGGUUUAAGCUUCUUGAUGAUUACCGUUCGGCAGUCGAGAAAAAUAUCUCGGCCUGUUGAAACCGGAUGUCCACCGGCUGAUCCCGGAACGCAACACACUUACUUACAUGGUCCAUUAAAUAAGGUUUUAGACCUUGUGUACGGUGGUCGCUAUCCGAGCGGAUAUAAAAUAUAUCCUCUACCAGCGGAAGUACAUGGUAACAAGUAUAAAUAGGUAAAUGGUGCGUCGUUUUUAUAUAGUCUUAGAGCUAACUAUAUUUUAGUUUUUAUAACGUAAUAUAAAACAAUAAUUUAUAGCAGAAUUGCCUGUGACAAAAAAGAGGUGGCAACACUGACAGCUGUCAGCUGAUGUUUACGUGUCAUAAUGACGUUCGAAAUCAACAAAUGAAGUCAAUUCCAUUAAUUUUUAUUAAAAAUAAUUUUGGCAUUCAAUAACCCAAUUAUGAAAAAAAUAUUACACCUUCAUAUUUUAAAAUAAGCAUGUCAUGGUUCGCGGAGCUCGCGGGGAAGGCGGAAAGUCUUCUGGUAAACUUUGAUGAGCAGACUGGGGCCGCUUUACGAAAUCAUAAUGGCCCGAAGCAACGUAAAA